RNAcentral lists this ribosomal RNA (468 nucleotides) under uncultured bacterium. Its description in RNAcentral is "partial 16S ribosomal RNA". It matches the Rfam family "Bacterial small subunit ribosomal RNA", at positions 28 to 507 of the family's 1533-position model. The record is from RNAcentral.
GACGAACGCUGGCGGCGUGCUUAACACAUGCAAGUCGAACGGAAAGGCCCUGCUUUUGUGGGGUGCUCGAGUGGCGAACGGGUGAGUAACACGUGAGUAACCUGCCCUUGACUUUGGGAUAACUUCAGGAAACUGGGGCUAAUACCGGGUAGGAGCUCCUGCUGCAUGGUGGGGGUUGGAAAGUUUCGGCGGUUGGGGAUGGACUCGCGGCUUAUCAGCUUGUUGGUGGGGUAGUGGCUUACCAAGGCUUUGACGGGUAGCCGGCCUGAGAGGGUGACCGGCCACAUUGGGACUGAGAUACGGCCCAGACUCCUACGGGAGGCAGCAGUGGGGAAUAUUGCACAAUGGGCGGAAGCCUGAUGCAGCAACGCCGCGUGCGGGAUGACGGCCUUCGGGUUGUAACCCGCUUUCGCCUGUGACGAAGCGUGAGUGACGGUAAUGGGUAAAGAAGCACCGGCUAACUACGUG